RNAcentral lists this ribosomal RNA (253 nucleotides) under uncultured bacterium. RNAcentral describes it as "partial 16S ribosomal RNA". It matches the Rfam family "Bacterial small subunit ribosomal RNA", at positions 524 to 776 of the family's 1533-position model. The record is from RNAcentral.
UACGGAGGGAGCUAGCGUUGUUCGGAAAUACUGGGCGUAAAGCGCACGUAGGCGGCGCAGCAAGUCAGGGGUGAAAUCCCGGGGCUCAACCCCGGAACUGCCCUUGAAACUGCAGUGCUAGAAUUCUGGAGAGGCGAGUGGAAUUCCAGGUGUAGCGGUGAAAUGCGUAGAUAUCUGGAGGAACACCGGUGGCGAAGGCGGCAUCCUGGACCGAGAUUGACGCUGAGGCGCGAAAGCCAGGGGAGCAAACGGG